GCCCCAACAGAAAACAAUAUAAACAUGAGAGUAGAUAAAAUUAAAAUAGACAUUUAUGAUCAAAGUAACAUCAGAAUCUUCAUAAAAGCAAGUCCAUCAUUUAACAACAUAGGCACAAGAGAGUGAUAGCAUUUUCACAUAUUCUAGCGUUCAUAAGAAAAUUAAUCCAACUUCAAUAGUCUGGAUUGGAGAGGUCCUUGGUGCUUCAGUACUUAGUGAGGCCAACUUCAAUAGUUUGGAUUGGAAUGAUCCUAUUCCUAAGUGCUUCAGUACUUAAGCCAUUUUAUAGUUUGACUAAAUCCAACUUAUCAUGAUUUCUCUUUUUUCAUUUAUGAAAAAUAAUUACUUUGUUAUUCAUCAACAGAUACCAUAUGGCAUCAUGCACGAAAGCACUUAAGAACGAGCCACAAUAACUUCUCUUCAUUCCUAACAAAUGCAGACCAUAUUUAGAGCUGAAUUUAUUCCAACUGAGCACCAAGGACUUUUUGCCUCAAUGGCAACACUUCCAGAGCAUCAAGGGAGGUCACAAGUUGAAACCCACAAUAGGUGAAUGGAAUUAAGCAUCUGUCUGUCAAUGGCCAAAAAUGGGUUAUGCUCACCGUGCAGUUUCCUUCACAACAU
RNAcentral lists this unclassified non-coding RNA (621 nucleotides) under Hevea brasiliensis (rubber tree). Lineage: Eukaryota; Viridiplantae; Streptophyta; Magnoliopsida; Malpighiales; Euphorbiaceae. The record is from RNAcentral.